GAUGAACGCUAGCUACAGGCUUAACACAUGCAAGUCGAGGGGAAACGGCAUUAAGUGCUUGCACUUUUUGGACGUCGACCGGCGCACGGGUGAGUAACGCGUAUCCAACCUUCCCAUGACUAAGGGAUAACCUGCCGAAAGGCAGACUAAUACCUUAUGGUCUUCACUGACGGCAUCAGAUGUGAAGUAAAGAUUUAUCGGUUAUGGAUGGGGAUGCGUCUGAUUAGCUUGUUGGCGGGGUAACGGCCCACCAAGGCAACGAUCAGUAGGGGUUCUGAGAGGAAGGUCCCCCACAUUUGAGCUGAGACACGGUCCAAACUCCUACAGGAGGCAGCAGUGAGGAAUAUUGGUCAAUGGGCGAGAGCCUGAACCAGCCAAGUAGCGUGCAGGAUGACGGCCCUAUGGGUGGUAAACUGCUUUUGUAUGGGGAUAAAGUCAAUCACGUGUGAUUGUUUGCAGGUACCAUACGAAUAAGGACCGGCUAAUUCCGUG
This 492-nucleotide ribosomal RNA is filed under the name uncultured bacterium. RNAcentral's name for it is "partial 16S ribosomal RNA". It matches the Rfam family "Bacterial small subunit ribosomal RNA", at positions 28 to 507 of the family's 1533-position model. The record is from RNAcentral.